Molecule: ribosomal RNA, 253 nt
Filed under: uncultured bacterium
Lineage: Bacteria
Description: partial 16S ribosomal RNA
Rfam family: Bacterial small subunit ribosomal RNA
Source: RNAcentral
UACAGAGGGUGCAAGCGUUGUUCGGAAUUACUGGGCGUAAAGGGUGCGUAGGUGGUUCUUUAAGUCUGCUGUGAAAGCCCCGGGCUCAACCUGGGAAUGGCAGUGGAUACUGGAGAGCUAGAGUGCGGUAGAGGGUAGUGGAAUUCCCGGUGUAGCAGUGAAAUGCGUAGAGAUCGGGAGGAACACCAGUGGCGAAGGCGGCUACCUGGACCAGCACUGACACUGAAGCACGAAAGCGUGGGGAGCAAACAGG